GAUGAACGCUGGCGGCGUGCCUAACACAUGCAAGUCGAACGGAGUUAUUAUUAUGAAGUUUUCGGAUGGAUUGAUAGUAGCUUAGUGGCGGACGGGUGAGUAACGCGUGGGUAACCUGCCUCAUACAGGGGGAUAACAGUUGGAAACGGCUGCUAAAACCGCAUAACAUUGCACUGCCGCAUGACAGAGCAAUUAAAUAUUUAUAGGUAUGAGAUGGGCCCGCAUCUGAUUAGCUAGUUGGUAAGGUAACGGCUUACCAAGGCGACGGUCAGUAGCCGGCUUGAGAGAGUGACCGGCCACAUUGGGACUGAGACACGGCCCAAACUCCUACGGGAGGCAGCAGUGGGGAAUAUUGCACAAUGGGGGAAACCCUGAUGCAGCGACGCCGCGUGAGUGAAGAAGUAUUUCGGUAUGUAAAGCUCUAUCAGCAGGGAAGAAAAUGACGGUACCUGACUAAGAAGCCCCGGCUAACUACGUGCCAGCCGCCGCAGUAA
RNAcentral lists this ribosomal RNA (494 nucleotides) under uncultured bacterium. RNAcentral's name for it is "partial 16S ribosomal RNA". It matches the Rfam family "Bacterial small subunit ribosomal RNA", at positions 28 to 523 of the family's 1533-position model. The record is from RNAcentral.